UGGGGAAUAUUGCACAAUGGGCGCAAGCCUGAUGCAGCCAUGCCGCGUGUAUGAAGAAGGCCUUCGGGUUGUAAAGUACUUUCAGCGGGGAGGAAGGGAGUAAAGUUAAUACCUUUGCUCAUUGACGUUACCCGCAGAAGAAGCACCGGCUAACUCCGUGCCAGCAGCCGCGGUAAUACGGAGGGUGCAAGCGUUAAUCGGAAUUACUGGGCGUAAAGCGCACGCAGGCGGUUUGUUAAGUCAGAUGUGAAAUCCCCGGGCUCAACCUGGGAACUGCAUCUGAUACUGGCAAGCUGUAGUCUCGUAGAGGGGGGUAGAAUUCCAGGUGUAGCGGUGAAAUGCGUAGAGAUCUGGAGGAAUACCGGUGGCGAAGGCGGCCCCCUGGACGAAGACUGACGCUCAGGUGCGAAAGCGUGGGGAGCAAACA
This 427-nucleotide ribosomal RNA is filed under the name uncultured bacterium. RNAcentral describes it as "partial 16S ribosomal RNA". It matches the Rfam family "Bacterial small subunit ribosomal RNA", at positions 355 to 774 of the family's 1533-position model. The record is from RNAcentral.